AGAUUGAACGCUGGCGGCAUGCCUUACACAUGCAAGUCGAACGGCAGCACGGGAGCAAUCCUGGUGGCGAGUGGCGAACGGGUGAGUAAUAUAUCGGAACGUGCCCAGUAAUGGGGGAUAGCCCGGCGAAAGCCGGAUUAAUACCGCAUACGACCUACGGGUGAAAGCGGGGGAUCGCAAGACCUCGCGUUAUUGGAGCGGCCGAUAUCAGAUUAGCUUGUUGGCGGGUAAAAGCCCACCAAGGCAACGAUCUGUAGCUGGUCUGAGAGGACGACCAGCCACACUGGGACUGAGACACGGCCCAGACUCCUACGGGAGGCAGCAGUGGGAAUUUUGGACAAUGGGCGCAAGCCUGAUCCAGCCAUGCCGCGUGUGGGAAGAGGCCUGGUUGUAACAUUUGUCGAGGAGAACGCUCUACUAUAUUAGAGCUAAUGAGUACCUGAAGAAUAAGACGACCGGACUAACCGUACGUGACCAGCGA
RNAcentral lists this ribosomal RNA (481 nucleotides) under uncultured soil bacterium. RNAcentral's name for it is "bacterial SSU rRNA". It matches the Rfam family "Bacterial small subunit ribosomal RNA", at positions 26 to 517 of the family's 1533-position model. The record is from RNAcentral.